Long non-coding RNA from Melanotaenia boesemani (Boeseman's rainbowfish), 1035 nucleotides. RefSeq lists it as uncharacterized. The transcript is spliced from 3 exons. Lineage: Eukaryota; Metazoa; Chordata; Actinopteri; Atheriniformes; Melanotaeniidae. The record is from RefSeq and is a predicted model, not a curated record.
CUUCUGAUACACUGAGAAUAUUUUUCUACCGUUAAGAAAACAGUUAAGUCAGUAUGAUUCUUCUAUCUCUGAGCAUUUAUUUGAACAGUUUUCUGCUUUCAGGAUCUUCUCUUAGUGAUCAAGUCCAUCAGACUCCAGCUGAUCUGCACUGCAGCCCUGGAGGAACAGCCUUCAUCAAUUGUUCACACACCAUUGAAAACUAUAAUAAUAUCCUCUGGUACAAACAGUCAAACAGCCAGAUAGAAUUACUGGGAUACAUGAAUAUAAUUUAUGAAAAUUUAGAGGAAGGUGUGAAUGUGACGAUAGAUGGAGAUGCAAACAAAGACAAGAUCUGCACUUUAAUAGUAAAAGAACUGAGUCUGAGCAGCAGUGGAGUUUAUUUCUGUGCUGCUAGAUACCACAGUGCUUCAUAUCUCUGCUCCUCAGUACAAAACUUCCUCAUCACUGUUCUUCAUCUCCAACAGCUCAGUGCACCUGUUUGACGUGCUUUGAAAAGAUGAAUUAGUACAUGACAAAUCUAAUAAAGAGAUUUGGUUUCUGCUGUGACCACACCCACUUACAGAGCACAUGUUCAUUUUCCUGACAGGAGGCUUUAAGAACAAGACAGAUCAGAUCAUCUGCUGACACACUGAGAAUAUGCUGCACAGUCACAGAGAAAUUAUCACUGAACAAAACAACAAGAACAGCAUGAACUUCAUACUAUUAAUAUUUGCUUUCAACACUGUGCUGGUUUCAGGAUCCUCUCUCAGUGACCUCGUCCACCAGACACCUCAACAUAUUCAUGCAAACCUAGCAGGAAAAGCUAAAAUCACCUGUUCUCACAGUAUCCAGAGCUACAACGUUAUCCUCUGGUAUAAACAAUCAGAAAACAGACAGCUACAACUCCUGGGAUACAUGUAUUUAACCAACAACAAUACUGAAGGUGGAGUGAACGUGGAGAUGGAGGGAAAUGCAGAUAAAGGCCAGAACUGCACUUUAACUGUUAAAGACCUCAGUCUGAACAGCAGUGCAGUGUACUUCUGUGCAGCCAGUUAC